RNAcentral lists this long non-coding RNA (200 nucleotides) under Gossypium barbadense (sea-island cotton). RNAcentral's name for it is "long non-coding RNA (GBAR_LNC013685)". The record is from RNAcentral. Lineage: Eukaryota; Viridiplantae; Streptophyta; Magnoliopsida; Malvales; Malvaceae.
AGAAUUGUUACAGUCAGAAAAUUUAAAGCUUGAGUUGCAACGAUAACUUUGGGUAUCAAAUUGACAAGUUUUCUAUUUGAGUGGGCUUUAAGGUAAAUAAGAGCAAUUUGUGAACUGGUUGAUAAAAGGUUGGAUUUCAACCUUUAGUUCCGUUAUUUUUUAACUAGAAAUCCUCUUAAGGGGAGACAUGAUGAUGGGGG